This 1080-nucleotide long non-coding RNA is filed under the name Homo sapiens (human). Its description in RNAcentral is "HSALNT0037044". The record is from RNAcentral. Lineage: Eukaryota; Metazoa; Chordata; Mammalia; Primates; Hominidae.
AGGUCCAUACUUAGUACGUCUAGCUGGGUAGAGGAACUUGUCUUUAUUAAUUAUGAAUAAAACAGGAAUCUUAAUGCCCCUCUUACAUUAGAAUCUUUCUGAUGUUAUUAUUUUUGAAAUGUGUUUCAGGAAAACCUUAUGCUUUAACAUCUUAAAUCAAAGAAGUGAUCUAUAUAAUGAGAAUUUGAGGCAUCAUAAUAAUGAGAAAAUAAUUUAUUUUUGGGUUUUUAUUAUUUUUUAAAUGCAACUAAUUAAUGAUGAUUCUUUUGGAUUGGGCGAUGUAAAAACUUCUUUAUAUAUAUCUUUUUUUUUUUUUUUUUUUUUUUUUUUUUUUUUUUUGAGACGGAGUCUCGCUCUGUUGCCAGGCUGAAGUGCAGUGGCGCAAUCUCGGCUCACUGCAACCUCUGCCUCCCGGGUUCACGCCAUUCUCCUGCUUCAGCCUCCCGAAUAGCUGGGACUACAGGAGCCCGCCACCAUGCCCGGCUAAUUUUUUGUAUUUUUAGUAGAGACGGGGUUUCACCAUGUUAGAUAGAUUCUCACUCUGUUGCCCAGGCUGGAGUGCAGUGGCACGAUCUCAGCAUCUCAGCUCACUGCUUCCUCCGCCUCCCAGGUUCAAGCGAUUCUCCUGCCUCAGCCUCUCAAGUAGCUGAGACUAGAGGCGGGCACCACCAUGCCUGGCUAAUUUUCAUAUUUUUAGCGGAGACGGGGUUUCUCCAUGUUGGCCAGGCUGGUCUUGAACUCCUGAUCUCCAGUGAGCCACCCACCUUGGCCUCCAAUGUGCUGGGAUCACCAGUGUGAGCCACCAUGCCCAGCUGAAGAUAAGUCUCUUAAAGUCUUACAGCAAUACAGGAUUAAACCAAGAAUUGAACCCGGGCAGCAGGAUCUCUGAUCCUGCGUUUCUAACCGCAACACAGAUCACCAUUCAUUGCAGAGAUGUUACAUUCACCUUGGAAAAAAGGAGAAAGGAAGAAAAAUGACACUCAGAUUAUUCACCCAAAUAAAAAUCAUAUUCACGUUUACUCUGAUCUGUUUCCUACAGUGAUUUUCUUUCCAGAACUCCAGAUCUAGACAUAGACCCCU